RNAcentral lists this long non-coding RNA (4013 nucleotides) under Olea europaea subsp. europaea. Lineage: Eukaryota; Viridiplantae; Streptophyta; Magnoliopsida; Lamiales; Oleaceae. The record is from RNAcentral.
GUAUUCUGCUUCAAUGGAGGAUAAGGCUAUAAGUUUUUGUAGUUGAGACUUCCAACAUAUACAAUUUGUAUAGAGUAAAAACAUAAGAAUAAGUGGAUCUUCUUUUAUCUAGAUCACCUGCAAAAUCAAAAUCAAUAUAGUCUUUCAAAAUCACACAUUCAUUGCAUCUUUGAAAUUUUAGGCCUAAAUCAAGUUAACCCUUUAAGUAUCUAUACAUCCAUUUUACUGUGAAUCAGUGAGUUUCACCUGGAUUAGCCAUAAAUCUACUCAAAAUGCUCAUAUCAUGAGCUAAAUCUGGUCUAGUACAUAUCAUAAGAUAUAUAAUUGAGCCAACAACAUAUGCAUAAGGUAUUUUUCUCAUCCUAUCAAAUUCUUCAUCAGUUUUAAGGGAUUGUUCACUUGACAAUUUAAAAUAAUUUGCAAUAGGUAAAGAUAUAGGUUUACAUAUGAAUUAAAUUUUUUAUACCAUCGCAUUAGUGCUUGUUUCAAACCAUAAAGUGACUUCUUUAAAAGACAAACUUUUUCAAUUUUAAAAUUCAGCUCAAAACCCUUUGGUUGAUUCAUAUAAAUUGUUUCGUUACGGUCACCGUUUAAGAAUGCCGUUCUGACAUCAAGUUGAUCCAAUUCCCAGUUGAAGUGAGUAGAAAGAGCAAGUAAAAUUCUGAUAGAAGUGUAUUUAGCAACAAGUGAGAAGAAUUUCAUUAUAAUUUAUUCCUUCUUUUUUAUUAAAACCCUUAACCACUAAUCUAACCUUAUAUCUUUUACCUUCAACAAUGGAUUCACCCUCUUUCACUUUGUAGACCCACUUACAAUAAACAAUAUUUUGAUCCUUUGGUUUAUUAACCAAAAUCCAUGUCUUAUUUCUGAUUAGGGAGUCCAUUUUUUCUUUCAUGGAUUUCAUCCAAAUUUAGAUUCUUUACAAUUAAUAGCUUCUUCAAAGGCUGUUCUUUCAAAAGUAACAAAUUCUAUUUCAAAAUAGAAGGUAACAAAUUCAUCAAUAUCAAUUCUGGUGGUAGGAAACUUAUUUCUUCUACCUCUAUCUCUUAUUAACUAAUGAUCUGGAAAGAUAGUAGUCUGAAUUUCAUUUUCAAAUUCAUCUUGAGUUUGAUCUAUUUCAGAUUGAGUAGUCUCCACUUCAAUCAAAUCAUAUAGUUCAAUGGAAUUUUCUUCAUCUCUCCCCAGAACAAUUUCUUUUGUAGUGACGGAUCAUGUUGUUUUCGGUUUUCAGGAUCAUUACAAGAAAGAACAUCUUCAUUGAAAAUAACAUUUCUAUUUAUGAUCACUUUAAACUCGUUAUUCCCUCACCCAAAGCCUAUCCCUUAGACUCUUACCAUAUCCUAAGAAAAUAGGUUCAAGUUUUCCUUCAUUUUGUUGAGAAUAGUCAGUACAUCCAAAGAUUUUAAGUUUAUAAUAAUUUGGGAACUUUCUAUACCAUAGCGAUCCAAGGGUUUGAGAAUCAAUAGCACUAGAAGGUAUUCUAUUUAUCAUAUACAUGGCAGUCUUUAAGGCUUCACCCCAAAAUAAUUUUGGAAGACUAGAACUUAAUAAUAUAUACGUAACCUUUUCAAGUAAGUUUUUAUUCAUUCUCUUAGCAACACCAUUUUGCUGAAGAGGGUAUGUUAUUGUUCUAUGCCCUAAAAUACCAAGUUCUUUACGAAAUAAAUCAAAUUCAGUGCUACAAAAUUCAAGCCCAUUAUCUAUUAUGAGUCCUUUGCUUUUCUUAUUAGUUUCGUUUUCAAUCAUCAAUUUUCGUUGUUUGAAAUUUUGGAAGGUGUCAGAUUUAUUUCUUAAAAGAAAUGUCCAUUUUUUCUUGAGAAAUCAUAUACAAUCAGGAGAUAGAAUCUAAAUCCACUCAAAGUACUUACUGAUGCUAGGCCCCAAAGGUGAGCAUGUAAAUAAUUAAGUAUUGAAGUAGAUUUAUGAAUUCCAAUUUUAAACGGUAACUUGUUUUGCUUUCCAAUGACACAAUCUUCACAAAAUUUCAAACUCUUAAUAUUAUCCUUUCCAAAACAUCCAAGUUUGUUAAGAAUGAUCAUUCCCUUUUCACUAACAUGCCCUAGUCUCUUAUGCCAGAUUAAGGAUUUAUCAUCAGAAGACCGAGCAGAAACUAACAAGGUUUCAACUAAUGGUUCAGCUUGAAGUAUGCAAACUACAUUAACCUUGGGUGAAGAAAUUAUUUCCUUAGAGUUAUAGAACAAUUUCGUAAAUCCUUUAUGGAUUUUAAUUUUCAUAUUCAUAAUCCAAUUCACAUAAGGAAAUCAGAUUUCUCUAAAGAUCAGGAACAUAUCUUGUUAGAGAAAGCUCAAGAACAUGACUAUUUUCUAACACAAGGUUAAUCUUACCAAUGCCUUUUAUCUUAUAAGUCAUAUCAUUUCCCAUUUGAACUUGGCCACCAUUUUGAUCAUUGAAUUCAAUGAACCAUCCUUUAAUGGGAUACAUAUGAAAGGAACAACCAGAAUCAAGAACCAACUCCUUUGGGCUUCUUUUUGUUGAAGUGACAAUGACAACUCCUUGUGCUUCAAUUGUAGACUAUUGCUACAGACUCAUCAGUAUUUGAUUUUCCUUUCAUAUCAAAUAUCAUUUUGAAACAAUCUUUUAUAAGAUGUCUAGUUUUAGCUCAAUAAUAACAUUUUCUGACUUGAUUCUUGGAUUUCAAUUAACUCUUAUUUUGAUUUCUAAAUUUGGGAGUUUGGAAAUUUCCCUUUUUAGGGAAUUAAGUUGCACAGAUUUCUCUUUUUAAUCUGAUUCAAUUUCUCUUUAAUGUUUAGCCCUCCUCCAAAUUUAGAAUCCUUGACUUCAGUUUUUAGUUCAAGAUAAUAACAUCAACAGUCAAAUCCUCUCUUCCAUAUUCUAAAACAUUAUUAAUUCCCUAUAUUUAUCACCUAGAGCAUUCAAUAGAGCAAGAGCUUGUUGAUCGUCAGAUAGCUCCUCAUCACAAUUAGCUAUAUUUUAAUCAAUUUAGUGAAUUUAUCAACGUUUUCUUCUGAGGUGGAAGGGAUAUUAAAUAUGAAAUUAUAGAAUUGUCUAAGGAAAUAACAUUUAUUAGGCAUUGUCUUGGUUAAAUAAAGGGAUCCUAACUUAGUCCACAAGACUACAAUAGUUGUGGUUUUCCCUAUCUUUCUUAUCAAACUAUCUAACAAAUGUAGGCAGAUUGUACUUCAAACAAUCUCAUCUAAUUCUUGUCUCCAAUAAGCACUAAUUUCAGUACCCCAUGUUCCAUCAAGGGCAGUAGCAUACCUCUGUUGUAACAACAGAUCUCUCAUCUUUUGAGACCAGAGAUUAAAAUAUUCAGUCCCCUUCCAAACUUCUACUUCAAAUUUGUGAGCAGCUGUCAUAACAAUAGAUAAAUCCACAAAGUCAAGAUUAUAAAAUACAUAGUAUAUAGCAGAUUUAAGCAGUAUGAGGAGAUUAUAAAGUAUGCAAAUUUCAAAAUAAGGUAGAAUAUUGCAGAAAAAUUCUUCUUAUCAUGCAAUUUACAUAGUUUAUGAGGCAAAUUAUUAAAUCCAAACAAUUCGAAAUUAUAUAACAAUGUAAUGAUCAACGCAUACAAAUAUUAAGAAUUAAAUUGUCAAUUUAACAAGUUUAAGGGGUGAUAACCCAUAUAUCUACUACUCCAUCAGAUUCCCAUAUUCUCACAGGAACUCUUGGACAAAGGAAAGCAGUGGUAGAUCAAUUACCUUAAUAACCAAAUCAAACUUAGACAAGAACAAUCUAAUUUGUCUAACCAAAAAGAUAAAAGUAUGGACGAUUAUACCAGAGUUGAAACCUUUGAGGUUCAAUAAGAGAUCGUAGUGAGAAAAUAUUAGAACUAGUUCAGAAGUCCAAGGAUAUGGUCAAUGCUCCACACGUCAUAGCGACUCAGUACAACUUAGCAAUUAGUCAAGAAUAGUAGCAAAACUCCGAAUGAGUUAACCCAUCUCACCAACAGUUAGGACGAGCUGAAAAUACCACACCUAAUCAGUGGUGAGUCAAGAGUCAAAUAGCCAAACGAUUCAGUAAACACUAAAAGUUUU